UUCAAACCGACCUACCAUAGUCCAUUCAAGAGAGUUUUGCAUAUCCCAUUGGGAGUGUUUGUCAUUGUACAGCUAACAGCGCGUGCUGAGGGAUGUGGGAAUUCAGAGGAAGGGUGGCUUUGUUCUGUCUCUCUGUGUCCGGUGCUGGUUUAAUCCUCCUCCCACUUACCUCACCACUAAGAUCCCCUUUUGUAGAGCAACAACCCUUAAGUGUUAACCACUCAUCUCAGCCCUUCCAGAUGAAGCCUGUGUGUCAUGAAGCUGGAGACAUUCAGAUGCCCAUUUGGAUAGAUCUUCAGCCUGGUCCACACCCCCUCUCCAGCAACACAAGUUCUGCGUGUCCUGACGCCACUGUUCAGCCCUGCACACAGAAGAAGAGCCUUUUCCUGAGCCUUGCUGAGGAAUCUUCACUUCAUACAGUUGUU
RNAcentral lists this long non-coding RNA (425 nucleotides) under Gallus gallus (chicken). Lineage: Eukaryota; Metazoa; Chordata; Aves; Galliformes; Phasianidae. The record is from RNAcentral.